CUACUCUUGACAUCCUGCGAACUUGGUAGAGAUACCUUGGUGCCUUCGGGAACUCUGAGACAGGUGCUGCAUGGCCGUCGUCAGCUCGUGUCGUGAGAUGUUGGGUUAAGUCCCGUAACGAGCGCAACCCCUAUCCCUGGUUGCUAGCAGGUAAUGCUGAGAACUCCAGGGAGACUGCCGGUGACAAACCGGAGGAAGGUGGGGAUGACGUCAGGUCAUCAUGGCCCUUACGGCCAGGGCUACACACGUGCUACAAUGGCGCGUACAGAGGGCUGCCAACUCGCGAGAGUGAGCCAAUCCCUUAAAACGCGUCGUAGUCCGGAUCGGAGUCUGCAACUCGACUCCGUGAAGUCGGAAUCGCUAGUAAUCGCGAAUCAGAAUGUCGCGGUGAAUACGUUCCC
Molecule: ribosomal RNA, 401 nt
Filed under: uncultured bacterium
Lineage: Bacteria
Description: bacterial SSU rRNA
Rfam family: Bacterial small subunit ribosomal RNA
Source: RNAcentral